Molecule: transfer RNA, 76 nt
Filed under: Lysobacterales bacterium CG02_land_8_20_14_3_00_62_12
Lineage: Bacteria; Pseudomonadati; Pseudomonadota; Gammaproteobacteria; Lysobacterales
Description: Xanthomonadales bacterium CG02_land_8_20_14_3_00_62_12 tRNA-Thr
Rfam family: tRNA
About the family: Transfer RNA (tRNA) molecules are approximately 80 nucleotides in length. Their secondary structure includes four short double-helical elements and three loops (D, anti-codon, and T loops).
Source: RNAcentral
GCCGGUAUAGCUCAGUUGGUAGAGCAACCGCCUUGUAAGCGGUAGGUCCCCAGUUCGAAUCCGGGUACCGGCACCA